Larimichthys crocea (large yellow croaker) is the source of this 93-nucleotide small nucleolar RNA. Its record names the gene SNORD14. It matches the Rfam family "Small nucleolar RNA SNORD14". Rfam says of the family: U14 small nucleolar RNA (U14 snoRNA) is required for early cleavages of eukaryotic precursor rRNAs. The record is from Ensembl. NCBI's taxonomy places the organism in Eukaryota, Metazoa, Chordata, Actinopteri, Sciaenidae.
UCGCUGUGAUGACAUUAUUUCCUGCCAUUCGUAGUUUCCACCAGAGGUCGGAAGACCAAAGAUGGUCCAAACCUUCCUUGGAUGUCUGAGCGA